Cygnus olor (mute swan) is the source of this 1122-nucleotide long non-coding RNA. RefSeq lists it as uncharacterized. The transcript has 3 exons. The record is from RefSeq and is a predicted model, not a curated record. Lineage: Eukaryota; Metazoa; Chordata; Aves; Anseriformes; Anatidae.
UUGAAGGAAAGGAACAGUUUCAAAGAAAUUAACUUGUUGCAGUGACAUGUCCAACAUCUUACUAAAACUGUCUGCAGCCUAAAAAUGUUAUAUAUGUUGGAUUUUCUUGCACUUACGGACAUAGCAUUAUCUGUUGUAUUAAUGGCAGUCUCUAAGGUAACCUGAAUUACUUUAAAAUAAGAAAAGCUCAAAGGAACUGACAGGCUUUGAAGUAAAAGAGAACGUAACUAGUGCAGGAUGGGGAUGGAUUCCAGGGGUAAGAGGGAUCCGAACUCGAUGUUUUUCUUCCCAGCUUGGGAGUCCCAUUCUUGAAACUUUCUGUGUUGACUGCAGGCUCAGGACCAAAGCAAGAACUCUGGUCAAUGAAGAGCAGGCACACGCGGAAAGGAUGAACAGGUUUAAAAUUCGAGGAGGAGGUUCCUUUUUCACACCCCAUGGAAUGAAGGAGAAUAGAAACUGUUUCCAUAAGUUCAUGUGACAAAGCAUGAAGAAGCUUGUAAAGAACAGAUUCCUUCUACCUCCCUCGCUACAAUCAUAACACUCUGACAGCCACAAACACUGGAGAUUGGGGAAGAUUAUUCUCCUUGCGAUUGUUUCCUCAGAAAGAGAUGGCCAGAAACUUGAGAAGGACAUACUAAAACAAAGAAAAGCAAAAAAGGAUCUUCCAAAUGAGUCUGCACAAAACUUAAACAAGAAAGAAAUUUCCUUUUUGUCAGAAAAAUCCAUCAGUAAGUCUCUACAUUUUGGGAGAUAAUUUGUCUUUCAGAGGUGCCUGAAGCUUCUUACAUUUGACUUUUUUAAAGCAAGCCUGACAAAUGAUGUGAGAAUAUUCUGCAAGGAUGAUUCUUAGGAAAUUAAUCUUCAGGUGUACCAAGCUUCAUCUCUCUCGCACUUCCACAGUUUUACAUUUAAAAAAAAUAUAACAACACUGGGAAGUUUUCAUAAAUCAUGUAAAAGUCACAGUUGCUUCAAAAGAAGAAAGUUGUGUGAUCAAACUAUAGAAGUAGAACACAAUCAACGGAGUAUUAGAAAUACUCAGAAAGUUAUUAGGCGUAUCACUAAAUAACUCAAACCUUAAUUCACAUAAGAACUUUCAUUCUUACCUCUGGGUAAUAAAUAAUA